This 439-nucleotide ribosomal RNA is filed under the name uncultured bacterium. RNAcentral's name for it is "partial 16S ribosomal RNA". It matches the Rfam family "Bacterial small subunit ribosomal RNA", at positions 339 to 795 of the family's 1533-position model. The record is from RNAcentral.
CUACGGGAUGCAGCAGUGGGGAAUAUUGCACAAUGGACGAAAGUCUGAUGCAGCAACGUCGCGUGGAGGAUGACACAUUUCGGUGCGUAAACUCCUUUUAUAUAAGAAGAUAAUGACGGUAUUAUAUGAAUAAGCACCGGCUAACUCCGUGCCAGCAGCCGCGGUAAUACGGGGGGUGCAAGCGUUACUCGGAAUCACUGGGCGUAAAGAGCAUGUAGGUGGAUUAAUAAGUUGGAAGUGAAAUCCUAUAGCUUAACUAUAGAACUGCUUCCAAAACUGUUGAUCUAGAAUGUGGGAGAGGUAGAUGGAAUUUCUGGUGUAGGGGUAAAAUCCGUAGAGAUCAGAAGGAAUACCGAUUGCGAAGGCGAUCUACUGGAACACUAUUGACACUCAGAUGCGAAAGCGUGGGGAGCAAACAGGAUUAGAUACCCGUGUAGUC